CCAUACUCUGUGUUACAGAACGUUGGUUAUGCCAAAGCAGUUUCUUGGCCAGGGACUUGCAGUUUCUUGCAGAAACCCAAUACACCCAAGACUCUUGUACAUCAUGUUGGGUGGUUUACCAUCCCUCUCCCAGCAGUAGUUAGGGCAGGAAUUUGGAAUUUGGGAUUUGGAAUUUGGACAGCCUGCCAGUGAUACGUCACCUCCUCUUCGUGAAGGACACUGCGAGAUCUUUAACAUGCACCAACUAAUGCCAGCAGAUGGGACGCCCUUUUUAACGUCCAUCCGAGGACCGAGAUUCAAACCCAGCUUUGAGCAAAUGCUGGUGUGGCACAAGGGUUCAUGGGCAUCAAUUCCAGUGAAAAGGCUCGGCUUGGAGUUGUGUCAAUAAGUGCACUGUCCCUUGGAUGUAUGCGAAGCCGGCUGUGUUGUCUGCAAGCAUUAGCUCAUGGACAGAAGUAUCCCACGUUGUCCUUCACGCAAAAUGUAGUUCGGAUUCCACCAAUUUCUUCCCAGUUUGAAUGUGCUCUUCCAAAAUCGUGCACCGAGGCACGACCUGCAUACGAUCAUGGAUUGCGUCCGAUGGACAAGUCCAGCCACUGCCAGAGGCGCGGUGCGCGAACUGACUGCUUCUUGCUCACUUGCAUGUGUGCACCUCGCCGGUCGCCACCCACCCUGAUUCCGCCAGCCCGUGCCCCGCAUUACAACAGGACACGCCAGCCUCUGCCUGCACUCCCAACUACGCGGGCAGGACGUCGCAGCUAUUGCCAAAAGAGCUGUCGGAAACCCCUAUGCGUCUCCGCUGGGACCACGUGCGAGAGUCACCCGAUGCGUUUCACUCCGGUGGAGUUGAACGUCAGUGCGUCACAAUGAGCAUGUGAAAGAGCGUUGGUGCUGCCGAACAGCGGGAUAGAGUGCCAGUCUCCUUGGCUAUUGGGUACAAUCCUGGACGGGUCACCACUCCAACACAAGAUAUCAGCAAGCUGUUACUCAUUUUAUCGACCUCAAAAGGAUGACAGGCAGAGUCAACCCCACCUGGUAUUAAUUCAACAGCCGAGCACGAUUUCAACUCGGCAUCCUUGAAUCCCGAGCCCAACACCAGGCAUACACAGUAUAUAUGUGCAUCCAAAACGUUUCUAAUAAGUAAUAAAUAAAUAAAUAAAUAAUGUGUGUGUGUAUAUUGUUACAAAAAUGACUAGGGUAUUAAUUAUUCAGUAGAUAUAGCCUGAUGUAUCUGAUAAUUCUAAUUUGGUAGUUUUCUUUUAAUCCAGAUUCAAACCCAAGCUCGAAGGCGAGUGCACAUACCGCGAAACUUUCAAACUAUUUACAUAAACAUAUAUGUAUACAUACCUUUUUGGCUUGCUUUAGACUGUCAUGAGUGCCCUGCUUGCAGAACUUUUGAAUGCCCCACAUACCUACCUUACUUGUGUUUAAGUGAGCGACCUUUCCUUCAUUGGUAUGUAACACAAAGCUGUGGGGUAGCAUCAAUGGCAGAGGGCGCAGAUGUGCUGCUAAUGUCAUGCCUUCUGUAUAUUAUGGCAGGAAUUUCGAAUUUGUUCAGGGCACCAACGAUAGCCGAUGCGACCGACGGUCACUGUGGGAUCUUUCACAUCCACCAACUAAUGCCAGCAGAUGGGACACCCAGUUUGGCGACCAUCCAAGGGACGGCAAACACAUUGAUGAAUCACCCUCCCUAUGAGACAUUGGGAGGACAGUUUAGAGCUGGGUUGGGAUUCGAACCCAGGCUAGGCAGCUUAGAAGCGAAUGUUUAUACCUGUCGGCAAUCCUGCAAUUCCAGUGAGCUGCUAGUUUCCUUCUCUGGAAGUACAAACAAUGUAUACGUUCUACUUUAGUCAUUGAAGAUGUAUAUAAUUGGGCAAUCCGUUUGUGCUAUACUAUGAUAGAUAGUUGUUCUGUAUAUAUUUGGUGAGACGAGGAUCACAAGAUGAAUUUAACUGCAGGCAUGUCCAGUUCGCAGGACGAUGUCACAGGUCGUUCUGGUUGACAUGGCACUUACAGUUUACGCUGUCUGUGACAAGACCAUCGCAUGGGCCUUACGCAUUCGCAGAAGGCAAGGGAUUGGGCAAGGAAGUUUGUGUAAAUAAAGUUUGUGUUUAUCCUUAUGUGCCACCAAAGAUUUAAAGACCUCUGUCCAGCAUGUAUAGGUGAAGAGGGUAUAAUAAUUAUUUAUGUUUUCCUUGUAUACCUGGUGAUGGCAAAAGGGUGGGCUCAUAACCGCAGUCUCUUUAAGCCCUUCAUGCAGACAAACUCAUUAUUGCACUUGAACCCGAAUAUACAAUGCAUCUCAAUGAAAUCGAUCCCAGAGAGCUUUAUAGUACAAUAAAAUUGUUUAAUGAGAGGAAGACAAUUGUAUGAAAACAAUGAAGGGAAAAUGAGAAACAUGUAAAAAAGUAAAAAAAAUGCAUUUUGUCUGGAAGUUUUACAAGAUGAUCCUUUACAGGUGGAAAGCUCUUAAAAUUGGACAAUUAUGUCGAACUCGGGAGAAUCAUCCACAGCAAAUGACCUGAGCCACAGUAUUUGCGAAGAAUACGAGAAGGAAACGCAGAGGAAGACGUUUAUUCGUCACAGUGUGACAACGGCAGCGAAUAUCGAUCCGCGCCGACUUCCAAUUGCGGCG
Molecule: long non-coding RNA, 2635 nt
Organism: Eptatretus burgeri (inshore hagfish)
Lineage: Eukaryota; Metazoa; Chordata; Myxini; Myxiniformes; Myxinidae
Source: Ensembl